UAUGGUUUGGCUGUGUCCCCACCCAAAUUCCAUCUUGAAUUGUAGUUCCCAUAAUCCCCACUUGUCAUGGGAGGGACUUGGUGGGAGGUAAUUGAAUCAUGGGGGUGGUUUCCUCUAUGCUGUUAUUGUAAUAGUGAGUGAGUUCUCACAAGAUCUGAUGGUUUUAUAAGAGGCGUUCCCCUUCUGCUUGGCAUUCUCUCUCCUGCCGCCCUAUAAAGAAGGGCAUGUUUGUUUCCCCUUCUGCCAUGAUUGUAAGUUUCCUGAGGCUUCUAGCCCUGCAGACCUGCACAUCAAUCAAACUUCUUUCCUUUAUAAAUUACUCAGCCUUGGGUAUUUCUUCAUAGCAUCAUGGGAACAGACUAAUACAACCUCUCACUCAUGCCUCUGCUGAGGAAAGUUUUGUCUGAUUAAUGGAUGAGGGGAACAAGUUAGUCAACCUCUGUGACUCAUUACCUGGACCAUGGAUCAUGCUUUUUUCUCUGUUCCUGCUGCACUGUGACAAGAUAAUACUGCGAUGAAUAUUUUGUGACGUAUUUCCAUAUCCACAUAUAUGACAGCUUCUCUAGGUUGUGUGUCUCAGAAGAGAAAUAAUGUAUCAUAGAUUUUGGAAGAAGCACGAAAAUGAUUUACUGAUUUAGGAACUGGGUGGAGUAGACCACAAAAAGACAAAUCAAAAACAUCUGGAAUGAACUAGUUGAGAGAGAAAAAGAGAGAGCAAGAAAAAAAGCAGGAGCCGGCAAGAGGGAGCCUCAGCCAACACUACAUCAGAGGCACAUUGUGGAUGGAGGAAAUGAGUUUAGUCAAGCCAGCUGUGACUUCAAAGGGGCUGCUCUCCCAGAGAACAGUGAGAAAGGGUUCCCCCUUCAGUGAAGACUGCAAAGUUCAGCCAGCGCCAACCCAAAGGGAAUGGACUCCAGGAAGGGGCAAAUUACAUUCAACAUACAAGAAAGAAUAUUUUCCUUCAUGAAGUGGCUGUGACAGUCUGAAGAGGAAGGAAAAUGACAAAAAAGAAAGGUGAGAAGAAAAUAUUCUGAUGCCCCUUUGGGGACUGUAGUCCUGUGUGCAUACUUAUAAAAUGGGGUAUUUGUAUACACAUUUGUACUUGCAUAAGGUUGCUUUUAAUCUAAGACACCUCCAAGCAUGAAUCAUGUUUCCAAACAUGUGGGAGGAGAGAACAUAGGAUUCUUCCCUGCUGACUGCCAUAGUUUCUUUCCCUCUUUGUGCUUCUAGAAAACUACACAUUUCUUUCAAAUUACUUACUUCACACAAAUUUACUGAGGAACAAUAGGGUGGACCCUGCAUAUUCGAAGACAAGAUCGUCUGUGUUCCAGUUCAAAAGAAGAAGCUAGACACAUAAACUGAAGAUUAUGGUAUUGAGUGAUAAGCCUUGGAGCAGGAAUCCCAAAGUGUGAUCACAUGACCAGCAGCAGCAACAUCACCUGGGAACUUGUUAGAAAUGCAAAUUUGCAGGCCCUAAUCCAAAUCUACUGAAUAAGAAAGUUGAGGUUGAUUUAACAAGCCCUUCAAGUGAUUCAAUGCUUGCUAAAACUGGAGAACCACCUUGAUAGUGAAGGGACAAAAGGACUUUUGUGCAGAGAGCUAACACAUCUGAACUAACCUUGAGAUCCUCUGCCAUCUAUAAAUCACUUCUCAAUCUCUUCCCGAUAAGAUUCUAAAUAGGUGGCUCUCUGGCAAUUCAAGGGAUGAUACACGCGUGUGUGUCUUCUCUCUUUAUGUAAGUUAUAAGAUCUGAAUGACAGAGGCACAUUCUUCUUUUAUGUUUUCUUUCCUUUCUCCUCCUAUUUUUAGGGCCAGUACGUGGAAAAUGCGGAAAUUGGAACUUACUAUAAGUAACUAAUUCAGAAAUCAGGCUGGCAGAAGUGUUAUACAUUCACUGGAAGAAAUUGGUGAAUAUAUGGAAAACAUAAAUGUUAUGUAUCCUGGAACUUAAAAUAAAAAUUAAUAAUAAAAAAUGUUAUCUCUCCCAAGCACUCAUUUGAUGCUUGAAUCCUCUCUAUGACAUCCUUACCAAGGAUUUGUUCUUCUUAUGCUUGGGUACUUCAACUGAUGAGAAUCUCACUAGCUCAGGAUGCAGUUUGCUUUCUUUUAGAUAGCUCUGUUAGAGCUGCCUUCUUCCAGGGCUGAACACUUCCAUAAUUUAAAUUCCAUUUAUUAGUUUUAGUCCUGCCCCUUGGGAACUCGUAGCAAAGAUACUUACAUAUUAAUGUGACAUUUUUCAGGUACUUGAGGUUAGUAAUUAUGUAGCAUAUGACAUAGAUUAAACUCAUAGACUCUGGAAACAAACUACUUGCCUUCCCUUCAAAUUCUUAUUCUGCCACUUACUUACUAUGUGACCUCCAGAGAGUUAUUUACUAUCUCUGUAACUUUAUUUCUUUAUCUAUAUAAAAAGAUAUAAUAAUAGCAGUACAUCAAAGGGCUUUUAUAAGGAGUCCAUGAAUUAAUAUAUGUAGAUGUGCCUGGAACACGGUAAGUGCUCUAAAAGUUUUCACUAUUACUAAUCAUCAUCAUUAUUAUACAGAUCUUGUCAGAUAUCGGACCUAGGCCAUCUUUCUAAGUCUUUACUCAUUCAUUAAGUGAGCUCAUUCACUCCCAUGGCUUCAAUCACCAUCUAUAUGAUUAUGAAAAAUCUAUUUUCCUCCUGAGCCAAGAGCUAAAUGUAAGUGACCAGUUAUGGAUACAGGAAUUGCUCUGGCCACCAUAAUUUGGGUGGAAAUGGUGCAUACCACUUCCAGUUCUUGCCCCUUAAAAUACCAUGAGAAAUCUUGCACUCCUUUCUCCUAGUUCAUCAGCUAACUGAAUGCAGAGAAACCAGUGGAGGACUCCAAGGAAAUUCCAAAGAGUGGUUGAACCACGGGUUGGAAGAAGUCUAGAUCCCUGAGUCAAUGUUUGGAGAGGAGCUGCCGAGGAGAGCCACCAGAGAGGGACACAUGAGCAAGAAAUAAACAUUUCUUCUGUUAAAACAUUGAGAUUUUAUAGCCCAUCAUGACUAAUCCAAUGAGACCCUAGUGUAGAUCUUUUGCUUAGUCUUCGCUUCUGAGAUCUAGAACUAUAUAUUUCAUUUGCUAAUCACCAUUUCUACAUGAACCCUCAAAUAGGGUAAUAGGUAAACUCAGAGUUUCUAAGAUUAGACUGUGUUGAAAUCUUAGUCCUUCCAGGUACAGCUAUAUGACUCAAUGUGUGUGUGGGGGCGGGGGCAGGGGGGUUAAAUAAACUAUUCAUAACUGUAUCUACUUAAAAGUAAUAAGAAAAUGAAAUGAGCAUAUACAUAUAUAUAAAACAGUUAUCGGCACAUAGUAAAUGCUCAGUAAUUGUCAGGUAAUACAGUUAUUAUGACCAUCCCACUCCAAAUUUGCUCUUUCCCCAGGUUUUUUAUGUUGAUAAAUGGUACCACCAUCCAAUAGUUGUUAAAAUUAGAAAUUUGCAACUUUAUCUUGGAUCACUUUUUUUAUCCUCCCACAUGGAUAAAGUCAAUCAAUAACUGAUUGAUUACACUCCUUCAGUAUUUUUCAAAUCCAUUUGCUUAACUCUCUCCUCUUCUAUUCUACACUUUUCAUCCUAGUUAAAGCCACCAGCCUAUGUAACUUUAUUAUAUUUGCGUCCUUACUAGUCUUUUCAAAUCCAUCCUUGCACCCUCCCAAUUCAUGCUUUAUGUGGAAAUGUAGGCAUUUUUUAAAAAAUUCAAAUCAAAUCUUGCUGCUCAAAAUUUUAAAUGCAUCAACACCGAUUGCUCUUUGGUGCCACCACAUUCCUGACCCAUUACUUCAGCACCCCCUCAAACCCACCACAGGACUUUAUUUCUACAAUUCAGCCACACUGGACUUUUGUCGGUGUCAGAAAAGUGCCAUAGAUUGUCCCAUCUUUGAUGUUAUCAUGUGUUGGUUACUUUUGCUUAGAAUAAACUUUCUCCCCAUCCCAGUUUACCUAAUUAAUUCCUGACCACUCUUUACAUUUCUGCUUAAAUGCUAUACUCUCCAGAAAGCCCUCUUAGCAAUCUCUGCCCACACUUCUUAAAGCUAUGCCUACAUAGCCCCCACCUUAUUUCUUCAUUAAACUCUUUGCACUUGCCAUUAUUUGUAUAAUUAUGUUUUCCCAGCUAACCAGGAGACUUUGUGAGGGCAGAGACCUCAUAUGUAUGGCUCACUGCCUGGUAUAGACAGUAUAUUGGCUUAUACGAAGGAGGAGUUUAUUAAAUACAGUAAAUUUUUUUAAGUGUGAAUAUGAGUCUGUUAAAUGACUGUGUGUAUAUGUACCCAAUGUAAAGUUUUAUUUGGUUCGGUCUAGAAAAAUGUCCUACAGCCAAUUCAUGUACCUAAUUAAAUUCACUUACAAAUUUAGGAAACUCAGCACCUGCCCUAUUUGAGUUUAAAACUAGUUGAUUUGAUAGACAUAUAAAAUAAAAACUAUACUAUAGUAUCAUCCAUGCUGUCAUAAUAGAAUUAUCUCAAAACCUCCAUUGAUGUACUAUUUGGG
RNAcentral lists this long non-coding RNA (4491 nucleotides) under Homo sapiens (human). RNAcentral describes it as "HSALNT0143952". The record is from RNAcentral. Lineage: Eukaryota; Metazoa; Chordata; Mammalia; Primates; Hominidae.